Molecule: ribosomal RNA, 440 nt
Filed under: uncultured bacterium
Lineage: Bacteria
Description: partial 16S ribosomal RNA
Rfam family: Bacterial small subunit ribosomal RNA
Source: RNAcentral
CCUACGGGAGGCUGCAGUGGGGAAUAUUACACAAUGGGGGAAACCCUGAUGCAGCGACGCCGCGUGAGUGAAGAAGUAAUUCGUUAUGUAAAGCUCUAUCAGCAGGGAAGAAAAUGACGGUACCUGAGUAAGAAGCCCCGGCUAACUACGUGCCAGCAGCCGCGGUAAGACGUAGGGGGCAAGCGUUAUCCGGAUUUACUGGGUGUAAAGGGAGCGUAGACGGCAGUGCAAGUCUGGAGUGAAAGGCGGGGGCUCAACCCCCGGACUGCUCUGGAAACUGUACGGCUGGAGUGCAGGAGAGGUAAGUGGAAUGCGUGGUGUAGCGGUGAAAUGCGUAGAUAUUAGGAGGAACACCAGUGGCGAAGGCGGCUUACUGGACUGUAACUGACGUUGAGGCUCGAAAGCGUGGGGAGCAAACAGGAUUAGAUACCCCAGUAGUC